Molecule: ribosomal RNA, 261 nt
Filed under: uncultured bacterium
Lineage: Bacteria
Description: partial 16S ribosomal RNA
Rfam family: Bacterial small subunit ribosomal RNA
Source: RNAcentral
UACGGAGGGUGCAAGCGUUGUUCGGAAUUAUUGGGCGUAAAGCGCGUGUAGGCGGUUCGUUAAGUCUGAUGUGAAAGCCCUGGGCUUAACCUGGGAAGUGCAUUGGAUACUGUAAGACUUGAAUACGGGAGAGGGCAGUGGAAUUCCUGGUGUAGGAGUGAAAUCCGUAGAUAUCAGGAGGAACACCGGUGGCAAAGGCGGCUGCCUGGACCGAUAUUGACGCUGAGACGCGAAAGCGUGGGUAGCAAACAGGAUUAGAAA